This 259-nucleotide unclassified non-coding RNA is filed under the name Hevea brasiliensis (rubber tree). The record is from RNAcentral. Lineage: Eukaryota; Viridiplantae; Streptophyta; Magnoliopsida; Malpighiales; Euphorbiaceae.
ACUCAAGAUAUCCCCCAAUGUUGUUCUCGUCAUGAGCAUUGGUUUCAUUGCUUUUGUUGCCAUUCUCCAUGUUAUGGGUAAGCUAUACUUCGUGCGAAGAGAAGCCUAGUGGGUUUUGCCCUGAUAAAGUGUGAUGAAUAUUUAAAUUCAAUGUGACAAAAGUUUAAUUUUGAUCUGAAUUCUCUGUCUUUCAUUACAGUAAAACUAAUUUGGAUUUUGUUACUAGUUAGAAUGAAAGAGUUGUUCUGUUCUGGUCUUA